Molecule: long non-coding RNA, 289 nt
Organism: Hevea brasiliensis (rubber tree)
Lineage: Eukaryota; Viridiplantae; Streptophyta; Magnoliopsida; Malpighiales; Euphorbiaceae
Exons: 3
Source: RefSeq, a predicted model, not a curated record
GUUGUAGUGAGAUAGGGGGAGUUGGGGCAGGCAUCUCUAGACACACAGGGGGUUCAGUUUCACAUGCUACUCACGCAGAUAGAAUGGAAGCCCAGCUUGGCCGAAGACCUUUUCCUUAUGAACUUUUCCAUAAGACCCACACUAGGAAAGGCACCUCCGAUAUGGUUGAUUCACGAGCGCAAUCAAUUAAGGAUGCAUUUUUGGCGCUUAAGGAGCAGUCGUCUCAACCACAAGAGGGGUGCAGUGACCCUCCUAUUGUAGAUGAGGUCGCACUAUAUUAUCAAGUUGU